UUAUUUGGUCUCAACAACAUUGCCUUUAAUUGAGGGCAUUUUUUUUGUGAUUCUCUUUUACUAUGCAUUCCCAAUGUCCUUCGUCACUCUAUAAAACCCUAACCAUGGACACCAGAUCAGAGAGGGUAAAACCCUAACGCCGCUCCAGAUGAACGAGGAAUACGUUCUUGAAAUUUUUUGAAAUCUUUCAUGGCUUCAACGAUUCCCCUUCUUCCUUAACCGAUCUAAGAUUUUCUUUCUUUCUUCUAUCAAAAUUUUCGCUUUCGUGAGGCGUUGCGUUGGUUGAUUGCCGAUGGACGUGUCAACGAAAGCGUAAAUUUAAUCUCAACGCCGUCUCAAUCCUCUCUUUCUACAUCUGUGAUUUGUUAAUGGGUUUUGGUGACAAUGAAUUUGGGGGUUGCUUCUUACUGGUGAACUCACUCUGUUUUUUAACAAACAAAAGUGAGAGACGUUCGUGUUUCCGAAGCAUAGAUCGAUUUGCUUUUGCCAGAAUUAAACAGCUCGCUGCAUUACACGAUUGUGUUUUGUUGCAUCGUGUUACCUGUCUUCUGGUACAUUUCUCUUCUUCGUUUUGAUU
Camellia sinensis is the source of this 577-nucleotide long non-coding RNA. RefSeq lists it as uncharacterized. The record is from RefSeq and is a predicted model, not a curated record. Lineage: Eukaryota; Viridiplantae; Streptophyta; Magnoliopsida; Ericales; Theaceae.